This 755-nucleotide unclassified non-coding RNA is filed under the name Hevea brasiliensis (rubber tree). The record is from RNAcentral. Lineage: Eukaryota; Viridiplantae; Streptophyta; Magnoliopsida; Malpighiales; Euphorbiaceae.
GAUCUUAAAGGCUUGGAUGCUACCUCAGAAAAUUCCUCUGCGUCUGAAGCAUCCACAAUAACAGUAACAUUUUCCAGUAAUUGGUCUGGCAUUGUGUUGGUGCAAUUGUACUGGAACACAACAUGCCCAUCAAAAAUGUGCUUAACAACAUUAACAGCAUAUUCUGUCUCUGCUUCUGUAAGCUCCACAGGUGCUGAGGACUUGAAAAGCUUCCCAAAGUUUGAGAACUCUGGGAUGGAGGAAAGAAGCCUUUCAUAAGCAUCAACAGUAGAUGGAGGGCCAAUUGGAGGUGCACCGAGACCAGUUGGCUUCUUGCCUGGGGCUUUCUUCUCAGCAAGUGGCUGAGACUUAACUUCCUUUGGCACAGAAUGAAUAUCAAAAGGCUCUUCAGAAGGUUCAUAAUUUUUCAAACUUGUCUCAAGGUUAACUAGUGGGAUAUCUAGCGGUCCAAAGAGAAAAGCUUGCAUGUCUUUAUCAGUUUCAACGACUUGACCAUCACCAGCAAGGGUUUUAAGAUAAAGCGUAGCCCUAUCACGAACCUCAUCAUCACCAUCAAAGAGGCAGCGUCUCAGCAGAACAAAAAUGCGUGGCUUCAAUGCAUCAACUAAAGCACCAAACUUUGCUAAUGUGCUCACUGCAGCAGCCCGAACAGUUGCAUUCUCAAGAUGCACACGAUUGUAGAUGUAACGUAUAUAUUUGCAGGGAUCCGAGGUCUUUGGCCCUUCAAUCCCCAAGAAAUGGAGUAUCUGUGUUGA